GAUUUGCCUGACCUGUCAUGUGGUAGAGCUUGGCAAGGAGCAUAAGGAGCCUACUGCACUGGCUGGCGUGUGUUACUGUGGACUGGCUAGUGAAGAGCUGCCAGUAUUCCAUAUGGAUAGAACUUGAUGAUCGAAUGUUCUUCCCUCUGGACAGAAGAAAAACAAGACAGGACAUUUUGGAACACUCACAUCUCACGAAUACAAAUCACUAGGAAGAGCUGAGUUCAGUAUGAG
Long non-coding RNA from Struthio camelus australis, 234 nucleotides. The record is from Ensembl. Lineage: Eukaryota; Metazoa; Chordata; Aves; Struthioniformes; Struthionidae.